GGGGUACCGUCACCCCGUAGGCUAUUAACCUCGGAAGCUUCGUCCCCCCUGAAAGCGGUUUACAACCCUAAGGCCGUCUUCCCGCACGCGGCGUUGCUGCGUCAGGCUUUCGCCCAUUGCGCAAGAUUCCCCA
This 133-nucleotide ribosomal RNA is filed under the name uncultured bacterium. RNAcentral's name for it is "partial 16S ribosomal RNA". The record is from RNAcentral.